Molecule: long non-coding RNA, 1629 nt
Organism: Gadus macrocephalus (Pacific cod)
Lineage: Eukaryota; Metazoa; Chordata; Actinopteri; Gadiformes; Gadidae
Exons: 9
Source: RefSeq, a predicted model, not a curated record
ACUGUCGCUGCUAGUUGUAUCAUGAUCCAGGAUGACCGGGGAAGGACUCGGAGGAGGAAGACUGAACUGCUGGGGACCUGGAAUGUAGAAGAUCAUCGUUAAGCGUACAAUUUGGUGACAUGGGUAAAGCUCCAACUGUAAAAGGUUCAGCACAUCCCUCUUGCCCCUCAAACGCUUCAAGAGAAAGCUAUGAGGCAAAAGCCAGCUUCUUCCCUCCUCUGCCAAGCCAGUUGAAUUUCAGCGCAAAGUGGUUGGUGAGGAUGUGGCGAAGGAUUCUUCGAACCGCGUCACCAGGAUUGCAGCCCCCAAGCGCACUAAGGUGUGCUGCCUGCAGAUAGAGUGUCUGCUGCUGCUGCUGCUGUAGUUUUUUGCCUAGUAAGGGCCUGGAGGAGGAGGUUGUUCUGCCUCACCAAGGCCUUCAACUCCUCCACAGCACGCAGGAGUGCAUGAUCCCGUUCUACAGGACAGAAAAACAUCAUGACUGUCAUGUCAAGAGGUGCUCCUGGUUUGGGCUUUUUUCAGGUUCAUACGCGCUGCAUCAUAAUUGGCUGUUGAAGACAACAAUGAAGUCUCAUCUGGCAUAGCGCUUUGGAUGACUGCAAUUUUCGUCCGCUUGGUGUCUUUAUACGGUGGCCAAAAAGACACCUUGCCGUCCAAACUUAGCCACGAGCAAGGCACAACCUCCACCUCGUUUGACUCGGUUCCCAACCACAGCUGUCCCCAGUGCAGUUGAAUCAACAGGGUGGUUGAAAAAUGGACGUUGGUCUAAAUAUUGCCUCGCCACAAAAGACGUACUACAAAAGAAGUGUCCUGCUAAUUGCCUCUAUUUUAAAAGUGGCACCACCACACGAAACUGUGUUGUUCCCAUCCUUUGUGGACAGGUUCCCAUCUCUCAGACUUACCUGAUCCUCCAUCCAAACUCUGAUGUUGGAAUCCAUGCUGUCCAGUCCAUGUGAAGAGCACAGGAAGGCUUGUUGCAGCACACUUAAUAGUAGGGUAUCACCAUAUGUCUGGUUGAGCUCCACAAAAGAUCUCGUCUGGCUCAGCUGUUUGAAGCGCAUCUACCUAAAUGUGUCAUCACAGUGGUCUCCUUCUCUCCCUCCCCACCUCCCUCUCUCCCUCCCCACCUCCCUCUCUCCCUCCCCACCUCCCUCUCUCCCUCCCCACCUCCCUCUCUCCCUCCCCACCUCUCUCCCUCCCUCCCUCCCUUAUCACUCCUAGGCACACCAGGUGCAAAGUCCAGCACAGAUUGGGUCACCAAGCCUACAUCUAGGUGUUGUAAUGGACUGUCCGCUUUUAAAGCCUAAGAGGAGAAAAGUGACCUGGGCCCUCUUGCAUGCACCUUUCGCAGUCGUAAUAGGAAUUGUGUGCUUUUAUUUUUUUUAGAAAUGCCCAUGCCUGUGCAUCACAGACAAAACAGGAAAUUUCGAUUUUAAUUAGAACAGUAACCCGGCUUGCGGAGGUACCUUCCCUUACACCCAAACUCCUUUUCUGUACAUAGUUUCUCAUUUAUUUAUUUUGUCUGUUCAGUCAAAUUGCAAAGAUUUUAUUUAUAUAUUGCAUUUCAUUUUCAUCAGUUGUUUGCACUGACAUACACAUGACAAUUAAAACUUGCGUUGUACUAUUUUA